Phrynosoma platyrhinos (Desert horned lizard) is the source of this 71-nucleotide non-coding RNA. The record is from the annotation of a GenBank genome assembly. Lineage: Eukaryota; Metazoa; Chordata; Lepidosauria; Squamata; Phrynosomatidae.
GCCAGCGUGGUGUAGUGGUUUGAGCACUGGACUAUGACUCUGGAGAUCAAGGUUCGAAUCCUGGCUUGGCC